This 67-nucleotide transfer RNA is filed under the name Staphylinoidea sp. 8 KM-2017. Its description in RNAcentral is "tRNA-Ile". Lineage: Eukaryota; Metazoa; Arthropoda; Insecta; Coleoptera. The record is from RNAcentral.
AAUAAAGUGCCUGAAUUUUAAAAGGAUUAUCUUGAUAGGGUAAAUCAUGUGUGUUACACCUUUAUUA